Long non-coding RNA from Pteropus alecto (black flying fox), 407 nucleotides. RefSeq lists it as uncharacterized. Lineage: Eukaryota; Metazoa; Chordata; Mammalia; Chiroptera; Pteropodidae. The record is from RefSeq and is a predicted model, not a curated record. The transcript is spliced from 2 exons.
UGCUGAUCUCCAGAGCCACAUUUUCCAGUCUAUCAAAUAAGAUGAAACCUGCCAGUCUUUCCAUCUUCUGUUCUAUACAGCUCUCAGUGGUAGGCAAAGGUAUGAUCUCACAAGGAUUUUCAUAAGGUCUAAAUAGACGAUGUUGAAGUUUCUCAGAAGAAAGAUGCUCUGUCAGUAGAGGCUCAUCAAAGAUUACUUGAUGGAAGGAGUAUCUGGAAUUUGGGGCCAUGUUUUAAAACUGCCACAGCGGCUUUUGAUAACGGCUCUGAGCUGCCAGUAAGAAGCUUGAAUACCCCAAGUUGCCAUGAUCUGAAGAUGCUCAACCCACAAGAAAGGUCUUGUUGUAAGAAUUCCUGGUCCACAGAAUCCAUGAGCAAAAUAAAAAGGUUGUGGUUAUACAUUGCAAA